Molecule: non-coding RNA, 597 nt
Organism: Gambusia affinis (western mosquitofish)
Lineage: Eukaryota; Metazoa; Chordata; Actinopteri; Cyprinodontiformes; Poeciliidae
Source: the annotation of a RefSeq genome assembly
AUGUUCAUAGAGGAGAGGAGUUGGAUUCUCUGGACUUUACCUGUGAAGCAGCAGCAGAGGAGAGUCCAGAUGAGGACGCAGAUCAAAUUUGUAUCACUGUGGUACACGUUCGGUGGAGGAACCAGACUGGAUGUUGGACGUGAUACCCGCCCCACCCUGACAGUGCUGCCCCCCUCCAGUGAGGAGCUGCAGCAAGGGACAGCCACCUUCAUGUGUCUGGCCAACAAGGGCUUCCCCUCAGACUGGACUCUGUCCUGGAAGCUGGAUGGCAGCAGCAGCAGCAGCAGCUGGGAGGAGAACAAGAGCUCUGGGGUGCUGCAGAAUGACGGCCUCUACAGCUGGAGCAGCACCCUGAGGCUCCCUGCAGACCAGUGGAGGAAGGUGGGCUCUGUGACCUGUGAGGCCUCCCAGGGCUCCCAGUGUGCUGUAACAGAGACCCUGAAGAGAGACCAGUGCUUCUAAAUUGAAUCUGUAGCUAAUUUUAUCUUUGCUUUAAUUUUUUUUUAUGACCAUCUUCUCUGUUUCAUUCUGAAUGUGCUUGAUAUUGUUUUAAAUUGGACUGAUUCAAUUUUAUCAGCAAUAAAUGUUUCACAAAGG